ACUUUACAAUGCAGGCAACUGUGAUAAGGGAGCCCCGAGUGCCCGUAUGGACGGGCUGUUCAGGUGCUUAAAAACCACCUGGAGAAAGGGCCGGGCAAGACCGGUGCCAGCCGCCGCGGUAAUACCGGCGGCUCGAGGGGUGGCCACUAUUACUGGGCUUAAAGCGUCCGUAGCUUGGUCGUUAAGCCUCUGGGGAAACCUUCCGGCUCAACCGGAAGGCGUCCCAGGGGAACUGGCGGCCUAGGGCUCGGGAGAGGUGGGGGGUAUCCUGGGGGUAGAGUGGAAUCCCUGUAACCCCCAGGGCCCCCCUGGGGGCGAAGCCGCUCCACCAGACCGACUCCACAAGUGAGGACCGAAACCUGGGGAGCAA
This 370-nucleotide ribosomal RNA is filed under the name uncultured archaeon. RNAcentral's name for it is "partial 16S ribosomal RNA". It matches the Rfam family "Archaeal small subunit ribosomal RNA", at positions 347 to 722 of the family's 1478-position model. The record is from RNAcentral.